CCUGGCCUCACUCUGUAGACCAGGCUGGCCUCAAAUUCACAGAGAUCCGCCUGCCUCUGCCUCCUGGGUGCUGGGAU
Molecule: microRNA precursor, 77 nt
Filed under: Mus spretus (western wild mouse)
Lineage: Eukaryota; Metazoa; Chordata; Mammalia; Rodentia; Muridae
Description: predicted gene, 56019 (ENSMSPG00010034813.1)
Source: RNAcentral